AGUAGGGCAGUGAUGUCACUUGUCCUGGCUCCCUGCCUCAUGGAGGUCGAGUGGCAGAGCUGGGAUUCAGUCUCUGACCACCUGGAGUUCUCAAAUGGGCACCACUCUCCCGUGGUUUGUAAACGUGGGCCAGUGGUUUCCUGCCCUCGCCCCUCAGCCAACCCCAGGAACACAGCCCAUGCUGGUCUGGAACUCAGAGCAAUCCUCCUGCUUUGGCCUCUGGAGUGCUGAGAUUACCCUACACACCUCUGAAUGUCUUAACAACUUAUCAUAUCCAACAAGCUAACUUCUCUAAGCAUCCUGAAGUGAAUUCACCUGCGCCCUGCUGCUCAUCAUGAACCGAGAAGAUGGGGUCUUCUGCCAGGUCGUCUCCAAACCUCGCUACUCUCCCAUCUCUCCCCUGCUCUCCCUUGUCUGGUGAGAUGUCCCACCCCUAGCCCCAGGGUGGGUCUCAGACAACAGAAGCCUGGGGAAAGGCAGA
Long non-coding RNA from Apodemus sylvaticus (European woodmouse), 481 nucleotides. RefSeq lists it as uncharacterized. The transcript has 3 exons. NCBI's taxonomy places the organism in Eukaryota, Metazoa, Chordata, Mammalia, Rodentia, Muridae. The record is from RefSeq and is a predicted model, not a curated record.